UUUUUUUUUUUUCUCAUACUAUCUUCCAUCAUGUUCUGUCCCAGGAGACUGGAUAGAGUUCCCUGUGCUGUACAGUAGGACUCCACUGCUUAUCCAUUCCCAAUGCCAUAGUCUGUGUAUCUACCAACCCCAACGUCCCAUGGGUUCUUACCACACAUCUGCACACAUGGCUUCAGCCUUUCCAGGUGCAGACACUGCCAGGAAGUGGGGCUGCGCCACGACUCGGGUGAGUUACGCCUGUCCCUUAGCAUCUUCCCAGGGCCCCUCCUCACAAGCAGGUAUAGCAGAGGCCCAGGACACAGCCGUAGGUGUUCCUCUCCUGCAGCUAUUCCCAGUCCCUCCCCUACCUGCACCCAGACAGCACACUCUCCGCAUUUCUGUGGGGGCACAACCUGCGUCCUUUAUCCCAGCUGCAGAUCAAAACCUAAUCGCCCACUCUGGUUUGAGGUGACCCCACCCCACUGCAGUGGUGCACCAGACACUCCGACGACUGCAUCCGUGUUGAAUCGGGUUCUCUGCUUUGUACAGACUCAUGCUGCUGGGCCACCCACCACACUGAGAAUCAUCUAAGCAGCCAAGGCUGGAUUGUGCGGCUCUCUGAAGCUGUGUUUUGAGCUGUUUCCCAACCCAACCAUGAUGCAAAAGACAAGGCCUUAGAAGGGGAAUGUCACUAGACUGGUUGUGUGUCAGGGGCCCGAGUGAACUAAACGCUACUCUUUGGAGGCCCCUGUCCAUAGCUGCCAAAGUAGGAUGCUCAGUUAACACAGAGAGACAUGGAGUAUUUACCAGUGCAUCCAAUGGUGACCCUAAGGACGAGGUUAUUUCACUGCAUUUCUGAAUACUGUAUUUCAGGGGAAAACAGAGAAUACUCCUACCUUUUAACAAAAAUGUAUGUUUCCACAAAGAAGCUACUUUCCAAAAAUAUCAUUCUGAGCUAAAGUCUGGCCAUACACUAGUACCUUUAUGAAGAACACAUGAUUCUCAAGGGUUUCUGCCUUAGGAGACUGAGACAGGGUUGGCCCCUAGGUGAGCUCACAAAGAGAAAAGGAAGAGUGUGGAGGCGGGGGAGCUAACAUGCAGUUUGGGACAUGUGAGCUUAGGAAGAAGUCCAUUCAACCCAUAAAUUACUUUUACGUCUCUAAGAUGUCCAUCCCGUCCUUCCAGGGAGAGAGAGUAGAAUGAAGUCAUGACAAAUCACCCCAACACUAAUGACAUAUGUUGAGACAAGGGACACUGACCACCUCCCAAAUUUAUCAAGCACCACACCACAAAUUUUCAAAAAGUACUGGACAAGGGAAAAAAAAUAGUCCCUUCAGAAAAGGACUGGGAAGUUCCCAUCGUGGCUCAGCAGUAACAAGCCCAAAGAGUAUCCAUGAGGAUGCGGGUUUUGACCUUGCUCAGCGACUUAAGGAUCCAGCGUUGCCAUGAGCUAUGGUGCAUGUCGCAGACGCAGCUUGGAUCUGGUGUGGCUGCGGCUGUGGCGUAGGCUGGCAGGAGUACCUCUGAUUUGACCUGGGAGCCUCCAUGCACUGCGGGUGCAGCCCUAAAAAGACAAAAAAAAAAAAAAAAAA
Molecule: long non-coding RNA, 1571 nt
Filed under: Sus scrofa (pig)
Lineage: Eukaryota; Metazoa; Chordata; Mammalia; Artiodactyla; Suidae
Description: lncRNA (ENSSSCG00015000084.1)
Source: RNAcentral